Molecule: ribosomal RNA, 303 nt
Filed under: uncultured bacterium
Lineage: Bacteria
Description: partial 16S ribosomal RNA
Rfam family: Bacterial small subunit ribosomal RNA
Source: RNAcentral
AGCAUCGCCGCGGGAAUACGGAGGGUGCAAGCGUUAAUCGGAAUUACUGGGCGUAAAGCGCACGCAGGCGGUCUGACAAGUCAGAUGUGAAAUCCCCGGGCUUAACCUGGGAACUGCAUUUGAAACUGUCAGGCUGGAGUCUUGUAGAGGGGGGUAGAAUUCCAGGUGUAGCGGUGAAAUGCGUAGAGAUCUGGAGGAAUACCGGUGGCGAAGGCGGCCCCCUGGACAAAGACUGACGCUCAGGUGCGAAAGCGUGGGGAGCAAACAGGAUUAAAUACCCCUGUAGUCCCUGUCUCUUAUACA